UCUUGUACAACACGUCCUCGAAGGCAGCAUUCAUGGCAAUCAUCACGUCUUUCUCCCGAGGGCAUGGUAUGGCUUUGUUCUUGGUGUUGUUUAAUAGAUGUCGAGUGUCUCUUUUCCACGUCCGAUGAUCUCCCUCUGCUCUAAGUGGGCGAGCUAGAAUCCUUAUGUCAGGUUGGUUGUUCAAAAGACUUUCUCUUUACCCUUUGCAUUUUCAUCUUUUUGAAAGCCCAUGUCCAUUUUUCUGAAUUUUUAUUGGUCUUAUUUCAGGCGCAAUAAAGGAAUUUUUUUUUUCUUAUUUCUCGUUUUAUUAAGUCAAGGUCGGGUUUGCACUUUGCAACAGUGAAAGGGACAAAUAUUUUAUUUAUUUAUCGGAUUGAUGCCAUUAAAUUGAUUCCAUGAUAAAAUUAUAUGCAACGUACAAAAUAUCAUUUAAAAUAAUAGUAUUCUAAUUCCUUUUCAUAAACAUUAGUUAACAGCGUUUAGGUUCAAAAGUCACGGUUGGGUGGAUUCAAGAUUACGGUAUUCAAAGUGUUACUUUUAAUUUACUUCUUAGACAAGUACUUGUCAACUGAAUUCGGAUUGAAUUUAACUCGAACAUUGGAUCAUAAAACUGAGUUUGAAAUUUGAACUGUUUCAUUCUUAUUGAUAAAAUGGUUCAAAGAAAGAUCUAAUAGAGCACAUAUUGUUGCUUUGUGCAUUAACAUAAAAUAAUAAAUUAUUGUCAUAAAUAAUCUUUAAAUUAUAAUAAAAUAUUUAAUAUGAUACAUUAAUUAAAUUAUAAUGAAAUUUCCAAUGAAGCUUUUUAUAAUAAGGAUUUUUUACUUGCACAAAUUUUAUUGUGGGAGAAUUCAUCACAUUUCCUUUUCGAGAC
This 871-nucleotide long non-coding RNA is filed under the name Durio zibethinus. RNAcentral's name for it is "long non-coding RNA (DZIB_LNC001696)". Lineage: Eukaryota; Viridiplantae; Streptophyta; Magnoliopsida; Malvales; Malvaceae. The record is from RNAcentral.